This 643-nucleotide ribosomal RNA is filed under the name Pseudomonas sp. N-YH-2220. RNAcentral describes it as "bacterial SSU rRNA". It matches the Rfam family "Bacterial small subunit ribosomal RNA", at positions 86 to 725 of the family's 1533-position model. The record is from RNAcentral. Lineage: Bacteria; Pseudomonadati; Pseudomonadota; Gammaproteobacteria; Pseudomonadales; Pseudomonadaceae.
GGGUGGCGAGUGGCGGACGGGUGAGGAAUACAUCGGAAUCUACUCUGUCGUGGGGGAUAACGUAGGGAAACUUACGCUAAUACCGCAUACGACCUACGGGUGAAAGCAGGGGACCUUCGGGCCUUGCGCGAUUGAAUGAGCCGAUGUCGGAUUAGCUAGUUGGCGGGGUAAAGGCCCACCAAGGCGACGAUCCGUAGCUGGUCUGAGAGGAUGAUCAGCCACACUGGAACUGAGACACGGUCCAGACUCCUACGGGAGGCAGCAGUGGGGAAUAUUGGACAAUGGGCGCAAGCCUGAUCCAGCCAUACCGCGUGGGUGAAGAAGGCCUUCGGGUUGUAAAGCCCUUUUGUUGGGAAAGAAAUCCAGCUGGCUAAUACCCGGUUGGGAUGACGGUACCCAAAGAAUAAGCACCGGCUAACUUCGUGCCAGCAGCCGCGGUAAUACGAAGGGUGCAAGCGUUACUCGGAAUUACUGGGCGUAAAGCGUGCGUAGGUGGUCGUUUAAGUCCGUUGUGAAAGCCCUGGGCUCAACCUGGGAACUGCAGUGGAUACUGGGCGACUAGAGUGUGGUAGAGGGUAGCGGAAUUCCUGGUGUAGCAGUGAAAUGCGUAGAGAUCAGGAGGAACAUCCAUGGCGAAGGCAGC